UGGUGGCAGCACAUCAGGCGACUUCAACGACACAUCGAUUCAUGAAGGGAUGCGAUUGUUCAGACGCACCUGUUCGUUUAGUAUAAAUAGGUUUAUCAUUGUGUUCAUGUUCGUGUUCGUAAGGGUUCUGACCAACAAUGGUAUCAGAGCACAUGUUUCAAAUCUGGGAAAAGGAAGAAGCUGAUUGAAUCAGAGCAUGGUUAAUCGAUUCGAAGAAGGAAAUGAUUUCUAUUCCAAGACGUCGACGGUGUUCGGUUUCGUCGUAAAAGGUCCAACAAAUCCAAAUACAUAGAUGAUUCUAAAAAGAAUUUCACUGCUGAUAGGAAAUGUGGUUUGAAAAGUGUUGCACCCACCAGUUGAGCAUCAUAUCCCCUUUCUAUGAACUGAUUUUGUAAGUCAUUUUUAGGGAUAGUUUCCAAACCUGCCAUGUCGUUUAUGUUUAUGUUGUGGAAAUGUUAUUUAAUAAAAAUGUUCCCCUUUAACUGUGGAGGUGAUUGUUUAGCACUUGUGUUUCGUAGCAGGAUAUCUACAUUUGCCCAAAAUUGGCAGAGGGUAGCCUGAUAGACUAGUGCAUUGAGGGUGAGUAUGGUAUGUUAUUUUGAUGAUGUAAGUGUCAAUAAUGGAGUGGAAGUCUGUGUUUUGGCCAUGUUUGACAAGGUAUGGUAAGUAGUUAUGGGGUGAUUUGAGAAUGAGAGCCUUAGAUGCAGGUUAUGAG
RNAcentral lists this long non-coding RNA (715 nucleotides) under Helianthus annuus (common sunflower). The record is from RNAcentral. Lineage: Eukaryota; Viridiplantae; Streptophyta; Magnoliopsida; Asterales; Asteraceae.